Molecule: ribosomal RNA, 309 nt
Filed under: uncultured bacterium
Lineage: Bacteria
Description: bacterial SSU rRNA
Rfam family: Bacterial small subunit ribosomal RNA
Source: RNAcentral
GACGAACGCUGGCGGCGCGCCUAACACAUGCAAGUCGAACGAGCGAGAGAGAGCUUGCUUUCUCAAGCGAGUGGCGAACGGGUGAGUAACGCGUGAGGAACCUGCCUCAAAGGAGGGGACAACAGUUGGAAACGACUGCUAAUACCGCAUAAGCCCACAGGGCCGCAUGGCCCGGUGUGAAAAACUCCGGUGGUAUAAGAUGGACCCGCGUCUGAUUAGCUGGUUGGUGGGGUAACGGCCCACCAAGGCGACGAUCAGUAGCCGGCCUGAGAGGGUGAACGGCCACAUUGGGGCUGAGACACGGCCCAG